GAGAAUUACAGUUCUAACAAUGAAAGCUAUGUCUAUUACUGUAGGUUAUAACACAGUGAAAGGCAAUGGCAGUUUACGAAUUAAAUUUGUGAUAUUUAAUGAGUCAAUUUUUACUUAAAGGGUAUAGGUCAUAAAUGAAAGUGGUUCAUGGUUAUGAUAAAUACACAAAGCUAAAA
Ruditapes philippinarum (Manila clam) is the source of this 176-nucleotide long non-coding RNA. RefSeq lists it as uncharacterized. The transcript has 2 exons. The record is from RefSeq and is a predicted model, not a curated record. Lineage: Eukaryota; Metazoa; Mollusca; Bivalvia; Venerida; Veneridae.